RNAcentral lists this unclassified non-coding RNA (152 nucleotides) under soil metagenome. Its description in RNAcentral is "partial internal transcribed spacer 1". The record is from RNAcentral.
CCGUGGGGGCCCCCCGGGGCCUCUGCCGAGAUAGCACCCCUUGUCUUUUCGAGCACCAACCGUUUCCUCGGCGGGCACGCCCGCCAACGGGGACCAACCAGAAACCUCAACCGCAGUAUCAGAAGUCGAAAACGUACCAAAACAAAAAAUCA